AAGGGCGAGGAAAUCUUCCGUGUCGAGUACUCAUCUAGAAGUAUUCGUGGGUUUGAAGAGUAGUCAGAAGAGUACCUGGUUUUACCCUUCAAAAGUCAUCAGAUCAGGAGUAAGUGUGUGGUGGAUAGCUUAGUGGGGACCGUUGAGCGAACACCAGUUGGUUAUCAUGUAAAUAGUUUUUCUG
This is a long non-coding RNA of Dioscorea cayenensis subsp. rotundata (Guinea yam), 184 nucleotides long. RefSeq lists it as uncharacterized. The record is from RefSeq and is a predicted model, not a curated record. Lineage: Eukaryota; Viridiplantae; Streptophyta; Magnoliopsida; Dioscoreales; Dioscoreaceae. The transcript has 3 exons.